RNAcentral lists this ribosomal RNA (253 nucleotides) under uncultured bacterium. RNAcentral's name for it is "partial 16S ribosomal RNA". It matches the Rfam family "Bacterial small subunit ribosomal RNA", at positions 524 to 776 of the family's 1533-position model. The record is from RNAcentral.
UACGGAGGGGGCUAGCGUUGUUCGGAAUUACUGGGCGUAAAGCGCGCGUAGGCGGACCUGCAAGUCGGGGGUGAAAGCCCGAGGCUCAACCUCGGAACUGCCUUCGAUACUGCGGGUCUCGAGUCCGGGAGAGGUGAGUGGAAUUCCUAGUGUAGAGGUGAAAUUCGUAGAUAUUCGGAGGAACACCAGUGGCGAAGGCGGCUCACUGGUCCAUUACUGACGCUGAGGUGCGAAAGCGUGGGGAGCAAACAGG